AAAAACAUGGCUCUUUGUUAUAUAAAUAUAAAGAGUCGAGCCUGCCCGGUGAAAAUUUUUUUAACGGCCGCGGUACUUUGACCGUGCAAAGGUAGCAUAAUCAUUUGCCUUAUAAUUGAAGGCUAGUAUGAAUGGUUUGACGAGAACAAUGCUGUCUCCUUAUUAUUUUCAAGAAUUUAACUUUUAGGUGAAGAGGCCUAAAUUUUAUUGAAGGACAAGAAGACCCUGUCGAGCUUAAAAGAUAUUGUAGAAUCUUAUAUAUUUUUAAAUAAAAUUUCUGCUAGGCUUUUUAGUUGGGGCGACUGAGGAACAAAAAAAGCUUCUUACUAAAAAUAAACAAUCAUGUUUGGAUCCGAUAAUAAUCGAUUAAAGGAAUUAGUUACCGCAGGGAUAACAGCAUAAUCUUUCUUGAGAGACCUAAUCGAAAGAAGGGGUUGUGACCUCGAUGUUGGACUAGAAUAUCCUAAAGAUGCAGAAGUCUUUAAAGGUCGGUCUGUUCGACCGUUAAAAUUCUACGUGAUCUGA
Molecule: ribosomal RNA, 525 nt
Filed under: Semisulcospira decipiens
Lineage: Eukaryota; Metazoa; Mollusca; Gastropoda; Semisulcospiridae
Also listed under: 1 other name
Description: partial 16S ribosomal RNA
Rfam family: Bacterial large subunit ribosomal RNA
Source: RNAcentral